Long non-coding RNA from Oncorhynchus keta (chum salmon), 1936 nucleotides. RefSeq lists it as uncharacterized. The transcript is spliced from 3 exons. The record is from RefSeq and is a predicted model, not a curated record. NCBI's taxonomy places the organism in Eukaryota, Metazoa, Chordata, Actinopteri, Salmoniformes, Salmonidae.
UGUGUGUUAAGAGUUUCAAAGGAACAAAAUGUUCAAGAUUGACACACAAACAAACCAUAGCAUCAUGGACACUGCCUAUAGGCCUAGUUAAACUGGGUCAAAAAGGAAUCUGUAAGAAAACAUUGCAUUUAACCUGGUUUAGAAGGACAGUCAAUACAAUGUGCUGAUAUGAUCAUUAUAGGCAGUGUAAAUUAUUUUGGGACAUUUCUUUAGCAAGUCUAUAUGACGAAGUCAAACCAUUCUUCAGUCCUUUAAUACUGGUAUAGUGUAGCUACAGGUACUCUGAUUAAACAGAUAUAUUGCUCCCUCACUGUUUUCCUUACAGGCCUGUCUGCCCACUCCUCCUAGCUUUCGUUCUUUGUCAACAUGUCUUGAACAGAAACUAAACACGACCAGCAUUAAUUCUAAUAGGGUGGGGUAAAACUCGGAAUACACAUACAGCCAAUAGGAGUGCAGUGCCACCCCAAAUGGGCACGGUGCCUAUAAAGUCACCGAGCGGGUUUGCCAGUCGCAUUCCUUUCACUCCAGUGACAGACUCUCUCUCUCUCCCCCGCCAACCUCACACUUAGAGCCGUCACUCACCCUAGUCAGGGGCUGUAUGUAGCCUAUCAAGCGUCUCAGAGUGCUGGUUUAGGAUGGGUUUACCUUUAAGAUCACAAUGGAUAAGUUGAUAUGGACAGGGGGUGUGCCAGUCGCAUUCCUUACACUACAGUGACCGACACACAGACAGACACAUACACACAAUUCAGGUGGAACGGAAGUUGUUACACAUUCAGUUAUUUGUCAAUAUAUAUAUCUAAAACCAAUGAACCAGGACAGCAUGGGGCUCCCGAGAGGUGCGGUGGUCUAAACCACUGCAUCUCAGUCAUAGAGGCGUCACUAAAGACCCUGGUUCAAUCCCGGGCUGUAUCACAACCGGCCGUGAUCAAAAGUCCCAUAGGACGGCACACAAUUGGCCCAGCGUCGUCCGGGUUAGGGGAGGGUUUGGCCGGGGUGGGCCGUCAUUGUAAAAUAUAAGAAUUUGUUCUUAACUGACUUGCCGAGUUAAAUAAAGGUUCAAUCAAAUAAAUGAUGACAUGACUUUGAUACAGAGAUUUAAAUCACACUUCCCCCCCUAGGUGUUUUUUUGUACCUGAUCUCUGGAACCUGCUGCUCUCCUCUCUCCUUUUUCCCUUUCUCUCCUCCUUUCUUUCUUUCCCAGGGGCCUGCUGAGAGACACUUAACUGAUUCACAGUCAAUGAUUUACACUCGGGAGUGGAGACAGACCGCCAACGCUUUGCUGGACUGAGCCCAUCAUAACUGUACGCUGGACUGAAAAGAAGACUAUAAUACGAUAGUCUUCCUAUACUAGAGGGGAACUUCAAAGUGAACCACAACAGCAGUAGCACGAAAUGUGUGAGCAGCAGCUACAGCUUAAAAGUGGAUCCACAGAAACAUCCCAUGACAUCAUGGAAUGUUGACACGGCGCUGUCUCAAGGGGAACGUGGGCAGACGUUUUGUGGCAGCACGCAUAGGCAGACCAUGACUGUUACGUCUUGGAACACACCUCUGGAGUACCUCUCUCAGAGGUAAAUACAGGACAUCUCCAGGCUGUGUAAGAGCUAUUUGACUAAGGAGGAGAUUGAUGGAGGGCUGCAUCAGAUGACCUGAUCACAACAUAUGCCUAGUUUCCUGAAAUUAGUCACAUAUGAAUAGUGUGUAAAUAUUUUUGUUGUCUCUUGGUGUCUUUCCUUUGAAUUUAAUGUAUGUCAUAUGUUGUUCUUGUCUAUUACUGUUCUGUACAUUUUAUGUGGACCCCAGGAAAAGUAGCUGCUGCAUGUGCAUUUAAACCCAAGCCACCCUAAAUACUAUUCAUUAUUGUUACUUUAUUUUAUUUGUGUAUCCUUUACAAAUGUAAAAAAAUAUAUAUGUUAACAUUUUAGAUGUAAUAAACAGU